Long non-coding RNA from Octodon degus (degu), 638 nucleotides. RefSeq lists it as uncharacterized. The transcript has 3 exons. The record is from RefSeq and is a predicted model, not a curated record. Lineage: Eukaryota; Metazoa; Chordata; Mammalia; Rodentia; Octodontidae.
AAGAGCCUGGGGGACGAGCUGGGUGUGUUGAGGAUGUGGUGCCCUGAGCCCUGGGAGGCAUGCACAGGGCCUGGGCUGACACUGUGUGGAAGUUCAUUAGCCUCCUCUGAACUCAGUUCUGUCACCGCCAGAAGACCAAGUGAGAGAACUGCGCAGCGCCCAGACUAGGACGCAGGAGCCCUGGCUUGGCGGCUGCUUUGGCUCCUGCUUUACAUUAGGCGACACAGGAGGAAUCACGCCCAAGCCAGGAUUUGCUGCCUCUCUUUGCCCUGUGCCCUGGGCCAGGUCCAGUGGGUGGGGACCUCAGAGCAUGAGGGUUAGGGCAAGGCCCUAGUGCCAAGGGACAGAUUCCAUUCUACCCUGCCCGGCCAGCCCCACCCACCCGAGGCCUGAAGCUCCACGGCGCCCAGUCAGAGGGGUGGAGGAUGGAGACGACACACUCACCAGUGGACCUCUGCUGAGCUUCGCAAGAGACACUGCAGCUGAGGUGGAGCUACUAGAGCGACACCUACGUCAGAAGGGCCCCUGGAGACUGCUGUGGGAAGGCAACAGACAGACAAUGAUGGAGACAAGUUUGCAGAAUGGGAGGAAGCUCUCCAGCCACCUUUACUCAAAGAGAGCCACCGACAAGUGUUGGC